AGCUUGGUUUGAUAUGUGAAAACAGAAACAGGAUUGUUUGUAGUCCCAUCCAGACCGGAGUACUAUUGGUGUAGUUCAGCCUCUUGUGGCCCAAAUGAGUAUUACUAAAACGAACACUGAAAAAUCCCUUUUUUCACACGUCUCUCAUGGCAGGCAGGUGAAACAAGAAACCCCACCUGUUAGCAGAUUCUUUUGAAAAAAUCACUUGUUUUCACAGAUGGCAAAAACUGAUCGUGGCAAAAACAAAUACAUUAAAAAAAUGACUUGCAUCUCAUGGCUCGUUUUCAAAAAUGAAAAACAAAAUCUCCUGAUUAUUCAUGUCUUCUCUCUAAUAAAGAAACAAAUAAUAAAUAAAAUUAAUAAAAGACCUCUGCUUUUAUCCUUCUGAAAACCCACCAUGUUGAAAUGUACAGAAGUAGUAACUAUUCACUUUUCCACAAACUGGCCUUUAUUUGAUGGAAUCUAAUGGUCAAAUACAGAAUUAUUUAACGUAAUAAAGAUAUAUGUUUUACAUGCUAUAUAGGCUGUGCAUGAAUAUUUCUAUUGUGAAGUGUACAGUACUGUAUGUAUGUUGUCUCACACACAGAUUUGACUUAAAAGUUUGUAGUCAAUUAGACCCCAGAAAGGUGUAACUCUAAGUUAAACUUCUUAUGAAAGAGCUGUUAUAAAACUCCAAUAAGAGAAAUUACUGGAUGAGUAAUCUAUACUGAAACUUCUUGUAAAGAAGUAGGAACUGGGGCCUCUCCAGCAUUUACAAAAUAACACAUUACUCUCUCCUACUCACAACAUCAAGUGUGUGAGAGAGUUCACACAUUCAAUAUUUCCAAUUACAUUUUUACAAUAAUGUGGCGCCAUCUGUUGGAGUAUAGUGGUGUAAAAUUACAACUUUAACAAGAUACAUACUGCAUAUUUCCCACCAGCAGGAGGCAGCAUGAAACUAACCAUGCCAAAGUGGGUUAUUCACUGAGUGCUUAACUGUUGUUUCUUGGUUGUCUCUAAAACACCCCCAAACAUAUUUAUUUGGAGAUUUUUAAAAAAGCGUUGUACAUGUGUUUUUUGUUUGUUAUUUUUUUGGUUUGUUUUUUUGUUUUUGUUUUAAAUGUACAAAGUAAAACAUAAAACAUAAGUAACAAAUAUUGAAA
Molecule: long non-coding RNA, 1142 nt
Organism: Lates calcarifer (barramundi perch)
Lineage: Eukaryota; Metazoa; Chordata; Actinopteri; Centropomidae
Exons: 2
Source: RefSeq, a predicted model, not a curated record